This 144-nucleotide small nucleolar RNA is filed under the name Sorghum bicolor (sorghum). RNAcentral describes it as "snoRNA snoR135". It matches the Rfam family "small nucleolar RNA snoR135". The record is from Rfam by way of RNAcentral. Lineage: Eukaryota; Viridiplantae; Streptophyta; Magnoliopsida; Poales; Poaceae.
UGCGCAGGACUUGUCUAGACAGGCAUACAAAAACUUGUGUUACUUGCCACCUGGACUUUCCUGCUAGAUCAGUUUAAGAAAAAUGGGCAGUUGAGUUAGGCCAGAUGUCUUAUGGUUUCCUCAACAAUCAUUUUUCUUAUAUUG